CCCUCCUCCCUCUGCCUGGGCGGAGCUUACCUGCGGGCUCCUGCCCUUGGCCCACGCACCUGUGGCUCAUCACGAGUGAUCCAGCUCUUUUAUAAGACGGCAGCCCUGUGUUUCUCGUCGCUGGACCGUUGCCGACCCUCGUCAGUGUAACCCCAGCUCAAUGACUUCAGAAGUGUUUCAUAGCGAUUUACCUAACUACCCAUUCGUGUCUCUGUGUACAGAUUCCCUGGACCUACCCCUGUGUUACCCGAGUGCGUGGAGUGUGAGGAGGAGUGGACGGAGAGUGUGCGUGUCUUUCCCGUUCGUGUGUGGACCCCCGGAGCCCGGCUUUCCCCUCACUUUUGUAAAUAAUCACCUGGUGCAUCAUAAUAAAGACUCUUGUGCUUUCAAGACCUAGAGCCUGCGCGUGAGUCCGUUCAGUCCCGUUGUGACACUUUUUUUUUUUUUUAACCGUUUGGUGGAACUGGCGAUAAAAGGAAAAAAGGAUUGUUUUCUGGAGAAAACAUUAACUCAACAAAAGUGACAACUGGACCAGCAGUUCGUUAACUCCAUCUGAGUAAAAUGGCACUAACUUGUACGAUACCUGCUAUAGACUCUGCACUAUGUGUUGAUCAGUAUAAUGACACUGAAAAGAAAAACUGGUGCAGACAGCUGCAUCUUGAAAGAGUGGAGUUGAACAAAAUGAAAAGUCUGGUAAUGGACAGAUGCAGGUUUAUCCAUAAUGAGGAUGGUUAAAACAGGCAAUAAAGAGGAUGUUUGUUGCAUCACAGACAUGAUAGGAUGUUUCACUAAUUCAUCUAGACACGGCAUGUUGUGGAGGGCAUAGCAGUUUGUCUUGAAACAACUUUAAUCUCGAAAUUUUGACUUGAUUCUCUUUUUUUGGGGGGGGGGGGGCCUUAAUACUCGGCCAUAGUACACUGUAAAUGGUUUUAGUAAAUUUAACAGUAUUUUUACAGGAAUAUGUAUGUAUAAGAUACUCUAAGAUGUUUUUACAUUAUUUUACUGCACAAAGCAAAGGAUUGUGGGAGAGUGUACAUUCACUGCUGUAAUUUGUCUGUACUGUAAAUUAUUUUGCAGCAGUGAUCCAACGCAGGAAAAACUGACCAAUAACAACAGAGAUUUCUUUCAAACUUCUUUAAAAAAAAAAAAAAAAAAAACGUUUGGUGGAACCAACAGUAAAAGGAAAAAAGGAUUAUUUUCUGGAGAAAACAUUAACUCAACAAAAGUGAAAACUGGACCAACACGUUUCUUAAGCACCAUAAGCCUUUAGCAGUUCAUUAAUGUCACUAACUUGCUCGAUACCUGCUAUAGACUCUGCACACAUGGAAGCCAAUCAGAGAUCGUACACUGUUAAACUUCCAACAUCUGAGUUUAUUAUUAGCUGUUGA
Non-coding RNA from Maylandia zebra (zebra mbuna), 1388 nucleotides. The record is from RefSeq and is a predicted model, not a curated record. Lineage: Eukaryota; Metazoa; Chordata; Actinopteri; Cichliformes; Cichlidae.